Pelobates cultripes (western spadefoot toad) is the source of this 228-nucleotide non-coding RNA. The record is from the annotation of a GenBank genome assembly. NCBI's taxonomy places the organism in Eukaryota, Metazoa, Chordata, Amphibia, Anura, Pelobatidae.
UAUACACUCAGACAUUACUGGGAGUAUUAUUGCUGUGGAGCUCUGUUAUACACUCAGACACAUUACUGGGAGUAUUAUUACUGUGGAGCUCUGUGAUACACUCAGACACAUUUCUGGGAGUAUUAUUACUCAGACACACCAGCAAUUCAGAUAGAAAAGGGGGAUUUGGACCCAAAAUAGGGACUUUCCCUCCUAAAUAGGGACACUUGGGAGGUAUGUUAUCUGUAU